This 1071-nucleotide long non-coding RNA is filed under the name Chloebia gouldiae (Gouldian finch). RNAcentral's name for it is "Erythrura gouldiae (Gouldian finch) lncRNA (ENSEGOG00005018770.1)". The record is from RNAcentral. Lineage: Eukaryota; Metazoa; Chordata; Aves; Passeriformes; Passeridae.
CUUCCACCCUUCCAAGAAGCUUUUUUGGGGUCAAACCUCAGGGUUUUUCGGAGGAUUUUUGGGGUCAAACCUCGGGGUUUUGAGAAAAUUCCAUGGGGGGAAACCCCAGGGGUUUAAGAAGCUUUUUUGGGGUGAAACUUUGGGGUUUCAAAAACCUUUUUUGGGGUGAAACUUUGAGGUUUUAAAGAACUUUUUGGGGGUGAAACUUUGGGAUUUCAAGAACCUUUUUUGGGGUGAAAUUUGGGGUUUUAAGGAACCUUUUAUGGGGCAAAACUUUUGGGUUUCAAGAACCUUUUUUGGGGUGAAAUGUUGGGGUUUUAAAGAACUUUUUUGGGGUGAAAGUUUGGGGUUUCAAAAACCUUUUUGGGUUGAAACUUUGAGGUUUUAGGGAACUUUUUUGGAGUGAAAGUUUGGGAUUUCAAGAACCUUUUCUGGGGCAAAACUUUUGGGUUUCAAGGACCUUUUUUUGGGGUGAAACCUUGGGUUUUUUAGGGUUUUAAGCAGCUUUUUUGAGAUAAAACCUCAACAUUUCCUCCCAAUCCUUUUAGGGGAUUCUUCAACCACCCCCUCCCAUUUUUUGGGGUGAAUCCCCCCGAUUUUGGGGCUUUUCCUGCUCAAUUUUCCCCUUUUUUUCUCUUUUCCAGUUUCUGCUUCUCGGAGAUGGCGCCGGUGUGCGCCGUGGUCGGGGGGGUGAUGGGCCAGGAGGUGGUCAAGGCUCUGUCCCAGCGGGACCCCCCCCACAACAAUUUCUUCUUCUUCGACGGCGUCAGGGGCCAGGGCAUGGUGGAGUGCCUGGGACCCCCGAAAUGAGGGAGCCCCAAUUUGGGGAGGGGGUUCGGAGGGUCCUGGACCCCCCCCAAGGCCACCCCAGAAUUUGGGGAGGGGGUUUGGGGGUCCUGAACCCCCCCAGGGUUUUAGGGGAGGGGGUUUGGGGUGCCUGGGACCCCCAAAAUGAGGGAGCCCCAAUUUGGGGAGGGGGUUUGGGGUGGUCCUGAACCCCCCCCAGGGGCACCCCAGAAUUUGGGGAGGGGGUUUGGGGUGCCUGGGACCCCCGAAAUGAGGGAGCCCCAA